This 508-nucleotide ribosomal RNA is filed under the name uncultured bacterium. RNAcentral describes it as "partial 16S ribosomal RNA". It matches the Rfam family "Bacterial small subunit ribosomal RNA", at positions 28 to 507 of the family's 1533-position model. The record is from RNAcentral.
GACGAACGCUGGCGGCGUGCCUAAUACAUGCAAGUCGAGCGCUUCUUUCCUCCCGAGUGCUUGCACUCAAUUGGAAAGAGGAGUGGCGGACGGGUGAGUAACACGUGGGUAACCUACCCAUCAGAGGGGGAUAACACUUGGAAACAGGUGCUAAUACCGCAUAACAGUUUAUGCCGCAUGGCAUAAGAGUGAAAGGCGCUUUCGGGUGUCGCUGAUGGAUGGACCCGCGGUGCAUUAGCUAGUUGGUGAGGUAACGGCUCACCAAGGCCACGAUGCAUAGCCGACCUGAGAGGGUGAUCGGCCACACUGGGACUGAGGCACGGCCCAGACUCCUACGGGAGGCAGCAGUAGGGAAUCUUCGGCAAUGGACGAAAGUCUGACCGAGCAACGCCGCGUGAGUGAAGAAGGUUUUCGGAUCGUAAAACUCUGUUGUUAGAGAAGAACAAGGACGUUAGUAACUGAACGUCCCCUGACGGUAUCUAACCAGAAAGCCACGGCUAACUACGUG